Molecule: transfer RNA, 74 nt
Filed under: Podarcis lilfordi (Lilford's wall lizard)
Lineage: Eukaryota; Metazoa; Chordata; Lepidosauria; Squamata; Lacertidae
Description: tRNA.Ile
Source: RNAcentral
GUCUGGAUAGCUCAGUUGCUUAGAGUGUGCUGCUGAUAAUGCCAAGGUUGCAGGUUUGAUCCCCGUAUGUGACA